AGCUAAUACUUGCUUUAGCACUCUUGAUUAAGUUCUUGAGUGUGUACUUGUUAAGCCUUUUAAGAAAAAAGUUAUUAACUUAAGGAAUUAUAACAAAGAAGUAACACGUAAUGGAUCCGUCCAUUUUUAGUGUGUAUCAGUCGAGUUUCUGACCUAUCAGCUUUUGAUGUUAGGGUAUUGGCCUAACAUGGCUAUGACGGGUAACGGGGAAUUAGAGUUCGAUUCCGGAGAGGGAGCCUGAGAAAUAGCUACCACAUCUAAGGAAGGCAGCAGGCGCGUAAAUUACCCAAUUCUAAAGAAGAGAGGUAGUGACAAGAAAUAACAAUACAAGGCCAAUCUGGCUUUGUAAUUGGAAUGAUGGGAAUUUAAAACCUUCCCAAAACUCAAUUGGAGGGCAAGUCUGGUGCCAGCAGCCGCGGUAAUUCCAGCUCCAAUAGCGUAUAUUAAAAUUGUUGCAGUUAAAACGCUCGUAGUUGAAUUUCAAAGAAUCGAUAUUUUAAGCAACGCUUUUAGCUUAAUCCACAUAACUGAUACUACGUAUCGACUUUGUGCGCAUUUUGCUAUUAUGUGUUCUUUUAAUUAAAAUGAUUCUUUUUAAGAUCUUUCUUUUGCUUCGGCAUUUGAAGAUCUUGUUAUUUUGAGUAAAUUAGAGUGUUCAAAGCAAACAGAUAUAGCAUUGCGCGUUUGAAUACUACAGCAUGGAAUAACAAAAUUGAACAAGUCAGAAUUUUGUUCUUUUUUCUUAUUUUGGCUUAGUUACGAUUAAUAGGAGUAGCUUGGGGGCAUUUGUAUUCAGAUGUCAGAGGUGAAAUUCUUAGAUUUUCUGGAGACAAACAACUGCGAAAGCAUUUGCCUAAAAUACUUCCAUUAAUCAAGAACGAAAGUUAAGGGAGUGAAGACGAUCAGAUACCGUCGUAAUCUUAACCAUAAACUAUGCCGACUAGGCUUUGGAUGAAAGAUUUUAAAAUAAGA
RNAcentral lists this ribosomal RNA (972 nucleotides) under Plasmodium cynomolgi. Its description in RNAcentral is "SSU rRNA". It matches the Rfam family "Eukaryotic small subunit ribosomal RNA", at positions 162 to 1077 of the family's 1831-position model. The record is from RNAcentral. Lineage: Eukaryota; Apicomplexa; Aconoidasida; Haemosporida; Plasmodiidae.